AGAGUUUGAUCCUGGCUCAGAACGAACGCUGGCGGCAUGCCUAACACAUGCAAGUCGAACGAGACCCUCGGGUUCGCCUGGUGGUCUAGUGGCGCACGGGUGAGUAGCGCGUGGGAACCUGCCCUGUUGUGGGGGAUAACCGGGGGAAACUCCGGCUAAUACCGCAUGCGCCCCGGGGUAACUCGGGGGAAAGAUUUAUCGCAGCAGGAGGGGCCCGCGUCGGAUUAGCUAGUUGGUGGGGUAACGGCCCACCAAGGCGAUGAUCCGUAGCUGGUCUGAGAGGAUGAUCAGCCACACUGGGACUGAGACAUGGCCCAGACUCCUACGGGAGGCAGCAGUGGGGAAUAUUGGACAAUGGGGGCAACCCUGAUCCAGCAAUGCCGCGUGAGUGAGGAAGGCCUUAGGGUUGUAAAGCUCUUUCGCGCGCGACGAUGAUGACGGUAGCGCGAGAAGAAGCCCCGGCUAACUUCGUGCCAGCAGCCGCGGUAAUACGAAGGGGGCGAGCGUUGUUCGGAUUUACCGGGCGUAAAGGGCGCGU
Molecule: ribosomal RNA, 538 nt
Filed under: uncultured Terriglobales bacterium
Lineage: Bacteria; Pseudomonadati; Acidobacteriota; Terriglobia; Terriglobales
Description: bacterial SSU rRNA
Rfam family: Bacterial small subunit ribosomal RNA
Source: RNAcentral